RNAcentral lists this ribosomal RNA (437 nucleotides) under uncultured bacterium. Its description in RNAcentral is "partial 16S ribosomal RNA". It matches the Rfam family "Bacterial small subunit ribosomal RNA", at positions 339 to 795 of the family's 1533-position model. The record is from RNAcentral.
CUACGGGUGGCUCCAGUGAGGAAUAUUGCACAAUGGGGGGAACCCUGAUGCAGCAACGCCGCGUGGAGGAUGACGCAUUUCGGUGUGUAAACUCCUUUUAUAUGUCAAGAAAAUGACGGUAGCAUAUGAAUAAGCACCGGCUAACUCCGUGCCAGCAGCCGCGGUAAUACGGAGGGUGCAAGCGUUACUCGGAAUCACUGGGCGUAAAGGACGCGUAGGCGGGUUGGAAAGUCAGGUGUGAAAUCCUACAGCUUAACUGUAGAACUGCACUUGAAACUUCUAAUCUAGAGUAUGGGAGGGGGAGAUGGAAUUAGUGGUGUAGGGGUAAAAUCCGUAGAUAUCACUAGGAAUACCUAAAGCGAAGGCGAUCUCCUGGAACAUUACUGACGCUAAGGCGUGAAAGCGUGGGGAGCAAACAGGAUUAGAUACUGGUAGUC